AAGUUUCUAUCAUAUUAUUAUUUAGGAUUUUUUUAUUUUUUUUCUUUUGUGUGAUUGGAAGUGAUUGUGUCAAAGACAUGAAUCUCGAAGAAGGAAAAUCCUCAAUACACUCUUGUAUCAAUCUUCAAAUCACUAAAGAGAAUUAAAAAGUCAUUCAAAAGGUGAUAUAAUAUUAAACUAGAAUGGCUAUUGCCAAAAACAAGAACACUGGAAAGACUUGAAACAAGACUAAGGACUAAAAAGGUCUUGACAAGAGUGAAGAAGGCUUCACUCUUGCCUCCAUAUAUAAUUUUAACUAAGAUGUACAUGGUAAUGUCCUAUAGGACCUCCAAAACGUGUUGACUUUGUUAGCCACAUGUCUUAACUAGUAAGGCAAGGUAUUUAUGUGUGCACCACAUAGUUAGCUUAUUCCACAAGCUAUC
Molecule: long non-coding RNA, 422 nt
Filed under: Physcomitrium patens
Lineage: Eukaryota; Viridiplantae; Streptophyta; Bryopsida; Funariales; Funariaceae
Description: long non-coding RNA (PPAT_LNC000786)
Source: RNAcentral